This 1528-nucleotide ribosomal RNA is filed under the name Klebsiella pneumoniae. RNAcentral describes it as "bacterial SSU rRNA". It matches the Rfam family "Bacterial small subunit ribosomal RNA". The record is from RNAcentral. RNAcentral also lists the same sequence under 1 other name. Lineage: Bacteria; Pseudomonadati; Pseudomonadota; Gammaproteobacteria; Enterobacterales; Enterobacteriaceae.
AGAGUUUGAUCAUGGCUCAGAUUGAACGCUGGCGGCAGGCCUAACACAUGCAAGUCGAGCGGUAGCACAGAGAGCUUGCUCUCGGGUGACGAGCGGCGGACGGGUGAGUAAUGUCUGGGAAACUGCCUGAUGGAGGGGGAUAACUACUGGAAACGGUAGCUAAUACCGCAUAAUGUCGCAAGACCAAAGUGGGGGACCUUCGGGCCUCAUGCCAUCAGAUGUGCCCAGAUGGGAUUAGCUAGUAGGUGGGGUAACGGCUCACCUAGGCGACGAUCCCUAGCUGGUCUGAGAGGAUGACCAGCCACACUGGAACUGAGACACGGUCCAGACUCCUACGGGAGGCAGCAGUGGGGAAUAUUGCACAAUGGGCGCAAGCCUGAUGCAGCCAUGCCGCGUGUGUGAAGAAGGCCUUCGGGUUGUAAAGCACUUUCAGCGGGGAGGAAGGCGUUAAGGUUAAUAACCUUGGCGAUUGACGUUACCCGCAGAAGAAGCACCGGCUAACUCCGUGCCAGCAGCCGCGGUAAUACGGAGGGUGCAAGCGUUAAUCGGAAUUACUGGGCGUAAAGCGCACGCAGGCGGUCUGUCAAGUCGGAUGUGAAAUCCCCGGGCUCAACCUGGGAACUGCAUUCGAAACUGGCAGGCUAGAGUCUUGUAGAGGGGGGUAGAAUUCCAGGUGUAGCGGUGAAAUGCGUAGAGAUCUGGAGGAAUACCGGUGGCGAAGGCGGCCCCCUGGACAAAGACUGACGCUCAGGUGCGAAAGCGUGGGGAGCAAACAGGAUUAGAUACCCUGGUAGUCCACGCCGUAAACGAUGUCGAUUUGGAGGUUGUGCCCUUGAGGCGUGGCUUCCGGAGCUAACGCGUUAAAUCGACCGCCUGGGGAGUACGGCCGCAAGGUUAAAACUCAAAUGAAUUGACGGGGGCCCGCACAAGCGGUGGAGCAUGUGGUUUAAUUCGAUGCAACGCGAAGAACCUUACCUGGUCUUGACAUCCACAGAACUUACCAGAGAUGCAUUGGUGCCUUCGGGAACUGUGAGACAGGUGCUGCAUGGCUGUCGUCAGCUCGUGUUGUGAAAUGUUGGGUUAAGUCCCGCAACGAGCGCAACCCUUAUCCUUUGUUGCCAGCGGUCCGGCCGGGAACUCAAAGGAGACUGCCAGUGAUAAACUGGAGGAAGGUGGGGAUGACGUCAAGUCAUCAUGGCCCUUACGACCAGGGCUACACACGUGCUACAAUGGCAUAUACAAAGAGAAGCGACCUCGCGAGAGCAAGCGGACCUCAUAAAGUAUGUCGUAGUCCGGAUUGGAGUCUGCAACUCGACUCCAUGAAGUCGGAAUCGCUAGUAAUCGUAGAUCAGAAUGCUACGGUGAAUACGUUCCCGGGCCUUGUACACACCGCCCGUCACACCAUGGGAGUGGGUUGCAAAAGAAGUAGGUAGCUUAACCUUCGGGAGGGCGCUUACCACUUUGUGAUUCAUGACUGGGGUGAAGUCGUAACAAGGUAACCGUAGGGGAACCUGCGGUUGGAUCACCU